GAUGAACGCUGGCGGCGUGCCUAAUACAUGCAAGUCGAGCGAACGGACGAGAAGCUUGCUUUUCUGAUGUUAGCGGCGGACGGGUGAGUAACACGUGGAUAACCUACCUAUAAGACUGGGAUAACUUCGGGAAACCGGAGCUAAUACCGGAUAAUAUUUUGAACCGCAUGGUUCAAAAGUGAAAGACGGUCUUGCUGUCACUUAUAGAUGGAUCCGCGCUGCAUUAGCUAGUUGGUAAGGUAACGGCUUACCAAGGCAACGAUGCAUAGCCGACCUGAGAGGGUGAUCGGCCACACUGGAACUGAGACACGGUCCAGACUCCUACGGGAGGCAGCAGUAGGGAAUAUUCCGCAAUGGGCGAAAGCCUGACGGAGCAACGCCGCGUGAGUGAUGAAGGUCUUCGGAUCGUAAAACUCUGUUAUUAGGGAAGAACAUCUGUGUAAGUAAAUGUGCACAUCUUGACGGUACCUAAUCAGAAAGCCCCGGCUAACUACGUG
RNAcentral lists this ribosomal RNA (497 nucleotides) under uncultured bacterium. RNAcentral describes it as "partial 16S ribosomal RNA". It matches the Rfam family "Bacterial small subunit ribosomal RNA", at positions 28 to 507 of the family's 1533-position model. The record is from RNAcentral.